CCAUGGUACCCAUAAUUUGUGAAUGUUUUAUCGUUAAAUUUGAUUACAUGCACAACUGUUUGUGUAUAUAUAUAGGUACAUUCAUAUUUAUAUCCUCAUAUUUUUUAAAUGUUAUUUUUCCUCUUUUUUUCCCUGCCAGGUAAUGAUGGAUCCUAGAAGGGAAGAAAAACUGUCUAUGCCUUUGCCUUUCUUGAAUGCUAUCUCCAAAGAGUGAGUUGACAACUUAAUUUAAGUCACUGGUUCUCCAUUGCUACCUGCGGCCUUUUGGAUGCUCUUGCAGAUUACUUCUUGGGAACUCUUGGGAGUGAAUGAUACCAGUAAGUCUCUGAAACAAGACUCUUCAGACAAGGAGACUGUGGUCCAAGGGCCAUGCUUUGAAGGUGGUGACCACAAAUGUGAGGUGGAUUUGUUACUGAGGGUGCCAUUACUUCUACCACCAGCUUCCUCAAAAUAAUGAUACACUCUGCUUUAUGCUUGGCGAUUCCUCUCUUUCCUGUGUUGCAGUGGACACAUCCUGCAGAUAAGAAAUGCUUAACUGAGAAAUGCUCAUGUUGGGAUAUCAUCGAUGAGACUUUAAUUUGGGCAUGGUGACUGUUUCCCUUGCUGCCACUUGACUCAAUCCCAGGAGCCUCAGUAGAGGAAAUAUUAUUGCACAAGAAACUCAAAAUGGUGGAAUUGCUCAGUGCUCCCAUAAAUAUACAUUUAUAAUUUCCAUUUGCCAUAUGGUAAAAAAUUUAAAUAGGAUAUAUUAAGAAACUGCACAUUUUUUCUCAAAAAUUCAAAGCGUAUUUAAAUAUCUAAAAUAUAAAUUAAGUGCCCUCCUCUCUCCCAAUUCUUCCCCCAGAGUUUUCUUCUCUUAAGAGAGUUGUGUGCAUUCUUUAAGCAGAUAGAUGCACACACACAGACACACAGACACACAAACUAUUUUGGGGGGUUCUGGAAGUGGGGCCAUAUUGUACACAUUCUUCUGCAAAUUACCUUUCAUUUUACAGUUUUUAAUACCCUUUUCUAUUUCAGUAAUAUACAUCUGUGUCAUUUGUUGAAUGACUGCACGACUGUUUUGUAGAUGAAAUAUAAUUAAAUGUUAUAAGUUUUUCUCAUCCAUAGAUAUUUGUUAGCACAAAAUUUCUGUGCAAUGAACCUCCCUAUCAGUAUUUUUGCAUUUGUCUAUUAUAUCAUAAUAAAUUACUUAGCAGUUGAAAUACUGGGAUUAAG
This is a long non-coding RNA of Ursus americanus (American black bear), 1215 nucleotides long. The record is from Ensembl. Lineage: Eukaryota; Metazoa; Chordata; Mammalia; Carnivora; Ursidae.